RNAcentral lists this ribosomal RNA (501 nucleotides) under uncultured bacterium. RNAcentral's name for it is "bacterial SSU rRNA". It matches the Rfam family "Bacterial small subunit ribosomal RNA", at positions 28 to 521 of the family's 1533-position model. The record is from RNAcentral.
GACGAACGCUGGCGGCGUGGAUUAGGCAUGCAAGUCGAACGGUAUCAUCCUUUCGGGGGUGAGAGAGUGGCGAACUGGUGAGUAACACGUAGGUUAUCUACCCUCAAGACGGGGACAACCCAGGGAAACUUGGGCUAAUACCGGAUGUGAGCAACUUUUAGUUGUUUGAAAGGUGGCGUAAGCUGUCGCUUGGGGAUGAGCCUGCGUCCUAUUAGUUAGUUGGUGAGGUAACGGCUCACCUAGGCAAUGAUAGGUAGGCGGCCUUAACGGGUGGUCGCCCACACUGGGAUUGAGAUACGGCCCAGACUCCUACGGGAGGCAGCAGUCGAGAAUAGUCUACAAUGGUCGGAAGACUGAUAGUGCGACGCCGCGUGAACGAUGAAUCCCUUCGGGGUGUAAGUUCUUUUAUAUGUGAGCAGUGCUUCUUAUAUUAACAGUAUGGGGAGAGAGAUAUUAGCAUAUGAAUAAGCAACGGCUAACUCCGUGCCAGCAGCCGACGGU